This 1103-nucleotide long non-coding RNA is filed under the name Micromonas commoda. RNAcentral describes it as "long non-coding RNA (MCOM_LNC000294)". Lineage: Eukaryota; Viridiplantae; Chlorophyta; Mamiellophyceae; Mamiellales; Mamiellaceae. The record is from RNAcentral.
UCCCCGAUCGCAACUGCCGCGAGCGGGCUCGCAGCGGAGGGGGCUUUUUUUCCGAGAUCGAUCGUCUCACCCUAGAAAACGCCGGGCGCUGACCAAUCCAACCCCCUCGAUGAUCCGCAGGCCGCAACUUCCUCCGCUGCUGGCACGGACGCGCGUCCUCCAACCUCGAGGUCGUCGCCAUCAACGACUCCGGCGGUGUCAAGCAGGCGUCCCACCUCGUCAAGUACGACUCCAUCCUCGGCACCUUCAACGCCGACGUGAAGAUCGUCGACGACACCCACAUCUCCAUCGACGGCAAGUCCAUCGAGAUCGUGUCCUCCCGCGAUCCCCUCCAGCUCCCCUGGAAGAAGCUCGGCGUGCAGCUCGUGAUUGAGGGCACCGGCGUCUUCAUCGACACCCCCGGCGCGUCCAAGCACCUCGAGGCUGGCGCCGAGAAGGUGCUCAUCACCGCCCCCGCCAAGGGCGACGACAUCCCCACCUACGUGAUGGGCGUCAACGCGGACCAGUACACCCACGCCGACAAGAUCAUCUCCAACGCGUCGUGCACCACCAACGGCCUCGCGCCCUUCGCCAAGGUUCUCGACGACAAGUUCGGCAUCGUCAAGGGUCUCAUGACCACCACCCACUCCUACACCGGCGACCAGCGCAUCCUCGACGCGUCCCACCGCGAUCUCCGCCGCGCCCGCGCCGCCGCGCUCAACAUCGUGCCCACCUCCACCGGUGCCGCCAAGGCUGUCGCCCUCGUCCUCCCCCAGCUCAAGGGCAAGCUCAACGGCAUCGCGCUCCGCGUGCCCACCCCCAACGUCUCCGUCGUCGACAUGUGCAUCCAGACCGAGAAGAAGUGCACCGCCGAGGAGAUCAACGCCGCCUUCCGCGAGGCUGCCGAGGGCCCCAUGAAGGGCAUCCUCGCCGUCGCCGACGAGCCCCUCGUCUCCAUCGACUUCCGCUGCUCCGACGUGUCCACCACCAUCGACGCCGCGCUCACCAUGGUGAUGGGCGACGACCUCAUCAAGGUUGUGGCCUGGUACGACAACGAGUGGGGCUACUCCCAGCGCGUGGUCGACCUCGCGGAGCUCACCGCCACCAAGUGGGGCAAGUAAUCG